ACACUGAAUGGAGGACCGAACCGACUUACGUUGAAAAGUGAGCGGAUGAACUGAGGGUAGCGGAGAAAUUCCAAUCGAACCUGGAGAUAGCUGGUUCUCUCCGAAAUAGCUUUAGGGCUAGCCUCAAGUGAUGAUUAUUGGAGGUAGAGCACUGUUUGGACGAGGGGCCCCUCUCGGGUUACCGAAUUCAGACAAACUCCGAAUGCCAAUUAAUUUAACUUGGGAGUCAGAACAUGGGUGAUAAGGUCCGUGUUCGAAAGGGAAACAGCCCAGACCACCAGCUAAGGUCCCAAAAUAUAUGUUAAGUGGAAAAGGAUGUGGCGUUGCCCAGACAACUAGGAUGUUGGCUUAGAAGCAGCCAUCAUUUAAAGAGUGCGUAAUAGCUCACUAGUCGAGUGACACUGCGCCGAAAAUGUACCGGGGCUAAACAUAUUACCGAAGCUGUGGAUUGUCCUUUGGACAAUGGUAGGAGAGCGUUCUAAGGGCGUUGAAGCAUGAUCGUAAGGACAUGUGGAGCGCUUAGAAGUGAGAAUGCCGGUGUGAGUAGCGAAAGACGGGUGAGAAUCCCGUCCACCGAUUGACUAAGGUUUCCAGAGGAAGGCUCGUCCGCUCUGGGUUAGUCGGGUCCUAAGCUGAGGCCGACAGGCGUAGGCGAUGGAUAACAGGUUGAUAUUCCUGUACCACCUAUAAUCGUUUUAAUCGAUGGGGGGACGCAGUAGGAUAGGCGAAGCGUGCGAUUGGAUUGCACGUCUAAGCAGUAAGGCUGAGUAUUAGGCAAAUCCGGUACUCGUUAAGGCUGAGCUGUGAUGGGGAGAAGACAUUGUGUCUUCGAGUCGUUGAUUUCACACUGCCGAGAAAAGCCUCUAGAUAGAAAAUAGGUGCCCGUACCGCAAACCGACACAGGUAGUCAAGAUGAGAAUUCUAAGGUGAGCGAGCGAACUCUCGUUAAGGAACUCGGCAAAAUGACCCCGUAACUUCGGGAGAAGGGGUGCUCUUUAGGGUUAACGCCCAGAAGAGCCGCAGUGAAUAGGCCCAAGCGACUGUUUAUCAAAAACACAGGUCUCUGCUAAACCGUAAGGUGAUGUAUAGGGGCUGACGCCUGCCCGGUGCUGGAAGGUUAAGAGGAGUGGUUAGCUUCUGCGAAGCUACGAAUCGAAGCCCCAGUAAACGGCGGCCGUAACUAUAACGGUCCUAAGGUAGCGAAAUUCCUUGUCGGGUAAGUUCCGACCCGCACGAAAGGCGUAACGAUUUGGGCACUGUCUCAACGAGAGACUCGGUGAAAUCAUAGUACCUGUGAAGAUGCAGGUUACCCGCGACAGGACGGAAAGACCCCGUGGAGCUUUACUGUAGCCUGAUAUUGAAAUUCGGCACAGCUUGUACAGGAUAGGUAGGAGCCUUUGAAACGUGAGCGCUAGCUUACGUGGAGGCGCUGGUGGGAUACUACCCUAGCUGUGUUGGCUUUCUAACCCGCACCACUUAUCGUGGUGGGAGACAGUGUCAGGCGGGCAGUUUGACUGGGGCGGUCGCCUCCUAAAAGGUAACGGAGGCGCUCAAAGGUUCCCUCAGAAUGGUUGGAAAUCAUUCAUAGAGUGUAAAGGCAUAAGGGAGCUUGACUGCGAGACCUACAAGUCGAGCAGGGUCGAAAGACGGACUUAGUGAUCCGGUGGUUCCGCAUGGAAGGGCCAUCGCUCAACGGAUAAAAGCUACCCCGGGGAUAACAGGCUUAUCUCCCCCAAGAGUUCACAUCGACGGGGAGGUUUGGCACCUCGAUGUCGGCUCAUCGCAUCCUGGGGCUGUAGUCGGUCCCAAGGGUUGGGCUGUUCGCCCAUUAAAGCGGUACGCGAGCUGGGUUCAGAACGUCGUGAGACAGUUCGGUCCCUAUCCGUCGUGGGCGUAGGAAAUUUGAGAGGAGCUGUCCUUAGUACGAGAGGACCGGGAUGGACAUACCUCUGGUGUACCAGUUGUCGUGCCAACGGCAUAGCUGGGUAGCUAUGUGUGGACGGGAUAAGUGCUGAAAGCAUCUAAGCAUGAAGCCCCCCUCAAGAUGAGAUUUCCCAACUUCGGUUAUAAGAUCCCUCAAAGAUGAUGAGGUUAAUAGGUUCGAGGUGGAAGCAUGGUGACAUGUGGAGCUGACGAAUACUAAUCGAUCGAAGACUUAAUCAAAA
RNAcentral lists this ribosomal RNA (2165 nucleotides) under Staphylococcus aureus. RNAcentral describes it as "partial 23S ribosomal RNA". It matches the Rfam family "Bacterial large subunit ribosomal RNA", at positions 759 to 2925 of the family's 2925-position model. The record is from RNAcentral. Lineage: Bacteria; Bacillati; Bacillota; Bacilli; Caryophanales; Staphylococcaceae.